RNAcentral lists this ribosomal RNA (397 nucleotides) under uncultured bacterium. Its description in RNAcentral is "partial 16S ribosomal RNA". It matches the Rfam family "Bacterial small subunit ribosomal RNA", at positions 523 to 918 of the family's 1533-position model. The record is from RNAcentral.
AUACGUAGGGGGCGAGCGUUGUCCGGAAUGAUUGGGCGUAAAGGGCGCGUAGGCGGCGCGGUAAGUCUGGAGUGAAAGUCCUGUUUUUAAGAUGGGAAUUGCUUUGGAUACUGUCGGGCUUGAGUGCAGGAGAGGUAAGUGGAAUUCCCAGUGUAGCGGUGAAAUGCGUAGAGAUUGGGAGGAACACCAGUGGCGAAGGCGACUUACUGGACUGUAACUGACGCUGAGGCGCGAAAGUGUGGGGAGCAAACAGGAUUAGAUACCCUGGUAGUCCACACUGUAAACGGUGAAUGCUAGGUGUAGGGGGUAUCGACCCCUUCUGUGCCGCAGUCAACACAAUAAGCAUUCCGCCUGGGGAGUACGGCCGCAAGGUUGAAACUCAAAGGAAUUGACGGGG